RNAcentral lists this long non-coding RNA (1063 nucleotides) under Capsicum annuum. RNAcentral's name for it is "long non-coding RNA (CANN_LNC005850)". The record is from RNAcentral. Lineage: Eukaryota; Viridiplantae; Streptophyta; Magnoliopsida; Solanales; Solanaceae.
AUUCCCCGGCCAAAGGAAUACAUCUGAUUAAAUAACUAACUAGAAAAACAUUCAAAAACACACAUUUAAACAUUCAAAGCAUUCAAUCAACACAUCACUCCUAGAUUUUGCCUACCCGAACCUAUAUUCCGAAUUAAACAAAAGGACAACAAAAAUUAAUUUACCUUCAAAUUUUAUCGAUUUCUCUAUUCCCGCCCCAAAUUCUCUUCAAUCCUUAACGAGGUAUCGUUUCAUUACACGAUUCAUAAUCAAAAAAAUCAAGCAUCCAAUCAAACAAAGUAGCAAUUCAUCACCAAUCAAAAUCAAACGACACACGAUAUUCCAUCCAAUGAAAUAAAAAGACGAAAAGAUUAGAAAUGGACCUCAAUGAUGCUUUUAUUCCAAAUAUCAGUAAAUCGAAAAGACAGAAUCCGCGCGCCAAAGAACCUCGAACCAAACUUCAACAGUGACAAAGAUCUAACUCGAUAUGGCUAACCCCAAUCCGAACAAAUUUGAACUCGGGAACACAAACUCAAUUAUAAACUACCAAAUCAACAACUUCGAACAACAAUGACAAAGCCCUAAAAGAAAAUCCUGAAGAAGAAAUUCUAAUCUUGAAACCCAAGAGUAAAAAUAAAACCAAACCAGAACAGUGGUUCUCGAUGAUAGGGUUCUGUUUUUGGGUUUGGGAUUUAGCUUCACCGAAGUUCAACGGGCUCGAUGGAAGCGAAGACUAAUAGCGAAACGACGCGGAGACCAAGUUUUUCAGGCGAGAACUCGUCGAAAAUGAAGUAGACUGGCGUUUCUAUCUACUUGCUUGCUUGUUCCCAUUUAUUUUACGCACCUCCUUCCAUUUCCGUUGAUUUUCGUCGUGUUUUUCUAUUGAUGGAUAUAUAUUUCGCUCAGAUCUCCGUGUGUAGGUGAAUUCUGGGUGUUUUGUAUUGUUUUCUCUAUCCCCAGACCAUCAAUUUUCUUUGUGUAUAUUGUAGGUGUAUGUUGCUAUCUUCUCUGAAGUGUAAACUCUCUGUAUAUAAAAAAAAUGAAAACAAAAAGGUCCCUUGGCAUCUUCCUAGAAGGUUCCCUC